This 774-nucleotide ribosomal RNA is filed under the name uncultured Neocallimastigales. Its description in RNAcentral is "partial large subunit ribosomal RNA". It matches the Rfam family "Eukaryotic large subunit ribosomal RNA", at positions 20 to 616 of the family's 3401-position model. The record is from RNAcentral. Lineage: Eukaryota; Fungi; Neocallimastigomycota; Neocallimastigomycetes; Neocallimastigales.
UACUAGAGUAGCACUCGCAUAUCAAUAAGCGGAGGAAAAGAAACUAACAAGGAUUCCCCUAGUAACGGCGAGUGAAGCGGGAAGAGCUCAAAUUUGAAAUCUUAAAGGGUUUCCCUUUACGAAUUGUAGUUUAAGAAGUGUUUUCUGUUGAGGUUUUGGUAAAAGUUCUUUGGAAUAGGACAUCAUAGAGGGUGAGAAUCCCGUAUUUGACCUUUACUUUCAACUUUGUGAUACACUUUCAAAGAGUCGGAUUGUUUGGGAAUGCAGUCCAAAAUGGGUGGUAAAUUUCAUCUAAAGCUAAAUAUUGGCGAGAGACCGAUAGCGAACAAGUACCGUGAGGGAAAGAUGAAAAGAACUUUGAAAAGAGAGUUAAACAGUACGUGAAAUUGUCAAAAGGGAAGCGUUUGACACCAGUGUUGUUUUUCUGAAAAUCAAUUAAAGAACUGUUUAUGCUAAGUUGUUUAGACUUUAUCAGCUAACUGUUUAGUUCUGAGCUUUUCUUUAAUGCACUUUUCAGUUAACAAGUCAACAUCAAUUUCUUUUGCUGUAAAAAAGCUUGAGGAAGGUGGCUUGAGAUUCGUCUUAAGUGUUUAUAGGCCUCUUGCCUAUGCAGUCGGAGAGAUUGAGGUCUGCAGCGUAGAUCCUUCGGGGCUAAAUGCAUUUGUGCUAAGUUAUAGCAUUUUAUAGACAACUUGUUGACUAUGAUUUGUCUUGUAGCUUACUCGCUUAUGUUAUUUUACCUACGCUUAGGAUGUUGAGCGCAUGUCUCUCUCU